Molecule: ribosomal RNA, 466 nt
Filed under: uncultured bacterium
Lineage: Bacteria
Description: bacterial SSU rRNA
Rfam family: Bacterial small subunit ribosomal RNA
Source: RNAcentral
CCUANGGGGGGCAGCAGUCGAGAGGCUUCGGCAAUGGGGGAAACCCUGACCGAGCGACGCCGCGUGGAGGAUGAAGGCCCUUGGGUUGUAAACUCCUUUCGUGGGGGAAGAAUGUGCUCGAGGUAAAUAAUCUCGAGUAUUGACGGUACCCCAAGAAGAAGCUCCGGCUAACUCCGUGCCAGCAGCCGCGGUAAUACGGGGGGAGCAAGCGUUGUUCGGAAUCACUGGGCGUAAAGGGCGUCUAGGCGGUUCGGUAAGUGGGAUGUGAAAUGCCCGGGCUCACCCCGGGACCUGCAUCCCAAACUGCUGAGCUUGAGUACAGGAGAGGGUAGGGGAAUUCCAGGUGUAGCGGUGAAAUGCGUAGAUAUCUGGAGGAACACCGGUGGCGAAGGCGCCUACCUGGCCUGUUACUGACGCUGAAGCGCGAAAGCUAGGGGAGCAAACGGGAUUAGAUACCCCUNUANUC